UAAAACUGGGAAGGAGACUUUUUCCUAGCCAAAGUGGUAUUGUCACUAAUAUUUGUCUAUGUACAACUGGUAAUUUGAGUGAUGACUAUGUAUUAUGUUUUUAUUAAUACUGUUCUUCAUCCACUUUGAAAUGAAGCUAAUUGUAUACAUACUAAUAUCUUUAAAGUGUAUGAAGUAUCUGAAGAAUCAACCACAGAAGAAAAAGUAUUUAUGACUCAUCCUCAAAAGACAAAACCCAAACUAGCAAAAGUGCCUGAAACACCCAAGAAAGUUGUUCCAGAGGAUAAAAUAUAUGUGACUAUUCCUAAAAAGAGAGAAACACCAGCAACUAAAGAGAUGGAAGUCUCCGAGGAAGGUACUCCAGAGGGGCCAGCUUCUGCUGCUAGAAGAAGAAAGAUAACAUCACCAAAAG
This is a long non-coding RNA of Myotis myotis, 412 nucleotides long. RefSeq lists it as uncharacterized. Lineage: Eukaryota; Metazoa; Chordata; Mammalia; Chiroptera; Vespertilionidae. The record is from RefSeq and is a predicted model, not a curated record. The transcript is spliced from 3 exons.